UCCCAGACUCCUACGGGAGGCAGCAGUGGGGGAUAUUGCACAAUGGGGGAAACCCUGAUGCAGCGACGCCGCGUGGGUGAAGAAGCGCCUCGGCGCGUAAAGCCCUGUCAGCAGGGAAGAAAAUGACGGUACCUGAAGAAGAAGCCCCGGCUAACUACGUGCCAGCAGCCGCGGUAAUACGUAGGGGGCAAGCGUUAUCCGGAUUUACUGGGUGUAAAGGGAGCGUAGACGGCGGUGCAAGCCAGAUGUGAAAGCCCGGGGCUCAACCCCGGGACUGCAUUUGGAACUGUGCUGCUAGAGUGUCGGAGAGGCAGGCGGAAUUCCUAGUGUAGCGGUGAAAUGCGUAGAUAUUAGGAGGAACACCAGUGGCGAAGGCGGCCUGCUGGACGAUGACUGACGUUGAGGCUCGAAAGCGUGGGGAGCAAACAGGAUUAGAUACCCUUGUA
RNAcentral lists this ribosomal RNA (446 nucleotides) under uncultured bacterium. Its description in RNAcentral is "partial 16S ribosomal RNA". It matches the Rfam family "Bacterial small subunit ribosomal RNA", at positions 329 to 792 of the family's 1533-position model. The record is from RNAcentral.